GGCUGGUCUGAAGGUAGUGAGUUAUCUCACUUGAUUGCUCACAGUCAGUUACAGAUUGAACUCCUUGUUCUACUUUCCCCCUUCUCACUACUGAACUUGUCUAAAAA
Molecule: Y RNA, 107 nt
Filed under: Propithecus coquereli (Coquerel's sifaka)
Lineage: Eukaryota; Metazoa; Chordata; Mammalia; Primates; Indriidae
Description: Y RNA (ENSPCOG00000008810.1)
Rfam family: Y RNA
About the family: Y RNAs are components of the Ro ribonucleoprotein particle (Ro RNP), in association with Ro60 and La proteins. The Y RNAs and Ro60 and La proteins are well conserved, but the function of the Ro RNP is not known. In humans the RNA component can be one of four small RNAs -- hY1, hY3, hY4 and hY5.
Source: Rfam by way of RNAcentral